GACGGACGCUGGCGGCGUGCUUAACACAUGCAAGUCGAGCGGUAAGGCCCUUUCGGGGGUACACGAGCGGCGAACGGGUGAGUAACACGUGGGUGACCUGCCCUCAGCUCUGGGAUAAGCCUGGGAAACCGGGUCUAAUACUGGAUAUGACUCCAUGACGCAUGUUGUGGGGUGGAAAGCCUUGUGCGGCUGAGGAUGGGCCCGCGGCCUAUCAGCUUGUUGGUGGGGUGANGGCCUACCAAGGCGACGACGGGUAGCCGGCCUGAGAGGGCGACCGGCCACACUGGGACUGAGACACGGCCCAGACUCCUACGGGAGGCAGCAGUGGGGAAUCUUGCGCAAUGGGCGAAAGCCUGACGCAGCGACGCCGCGUGAGGGAUGACGGCCUGGU
This 391-nucleotide ribosomal RNA is filed under the name uncultured bacterium. Its description in RNAcentral is "bacterial SSU rRNA". It matches the Rfam family "Bacterial small subunit ribosomal RNA", at positions 28 to 420 of the family's 1533-position model. The record is from RNAcentral.